This 400-nucleotide ribosomal RNA is filed under the name uncultured bacterium. RNAcentral describes it as "bacterial SSU rRNA". It matches the Rfam family "Bacterial small subunit ribosomal RNA", at positions 28 to 428 of the family's 1533-position model. The record is from RNAcentral.
GAUGAACGCUAGCGGCAGGCUUAAUACAUGCAAGUCGAACGGCAAGGAUUUUUCGGAAUCCCUAGAGUGGCGCACGGGUGAGUAACACGUACACAACAUGCCCUAUAUUGGGAGAUAGCAUCGGGAAACUGGUGGUAAUACCCCAUAGUGUUAGUGAAAGGCAUCUUUUACUAACUAAAGAUUUAUUGAUAUAGGAUUGGUGUGCGUCCCAUUAGCUAGUUGGUAGGGUAACGGCCUACCAAGGCGACGAUGGGUAGCUGGCGUGAGAGCGCGACCAGCCACACUGGAACUGAGACACGGUCCAGACUCCUACGGGAGGCAGCAGUAGGGAAUAUUGGACAAUGGGCGAAAGCCUGAUCCAGCCAUGCCGCGUGAUAGAUGAAGGCCCUCUGGGUUGUAA